RNAcentral lists this ribosomal RNA (492 nucleotides) under uncultured bacterium. RNAcentral describes it as "partial 16S ribosomal RNA". It matches the Rfam family "Bacterial small subunit ribosomal RNA", at positions 29 to 507 of the family's 1533-position model. The record is from RNAcentral.
AGUGAACGCUGGCGGUAGACCUAACACAUGCAAGUCGAACGGCAGCACAGUAAGAGCUUGCUCUUACGGGUGGCGAGUGGCGGACGGGUGAGGAAUACAUCGGAAUCUACUUUUUCGGGGGGGAUAACGUAGGGAAACUUACGCUAAUACCGCAUACGACCUACGGGUGAAAGCAGUGGAUCUUCGGACCUUGCGCGAUUGAAUGAGCCGAUGUCGGAUUAGCUAGUUGGCGGGGUAAAGGCCCACCAAGGCGACGAUCCGUAGCUGGUCUGAGAGGAUGAUCGGCCACACUGGAACUGAGCCACGGUCCAGACUCCUACGGGAGGCAGCAGUGGGGAAUAUUGGACAAUGGGCGCAAGCAUGAUCCAGCCAUACCGCGUGGGUGAAGAAGGCCUUCGGGUUGUAAAGCCCUUUUGUUGGGAAAGAAAAGCAGCAGGUUAAUACCCCGCUGUUCUGACGGUACCCAAAGAAUAAGCACCGGCUAACUUCGUG